This is a long non-coding RNA of Suricata suricatta (meerkat), 429 nucleotides long. RefSeq lists it as uncharacterized. Lineage: Eukaryota; Metazoa; Chordata; Mammalia; Carnivora; Herpestidae. The record is from RefSeq and is a predicted model, not a curated record. The transcript is spliced from 3 exons.
CUCCGCCCCCCAAAAGGACUGGGAGUAAAGUAAGAAAAUAGACCCAGGUUUGUUUCGUUUAAAGGAGGAUGCAAUUUUGCCCGUGAAUGCAUUUUCUCAAAAUGCGUUUGCUUCAUUCCUUCUUUGCUAAAGAGUAUCAACGGAUUUGCUAAUAACCUAGCCCAGGAACAUCCAGUGUGUGUCAGAUCAAAUCCAAGCAACAAAGCUGCGUGAAACUGCAAAGCCGGUCUGGAAGCUCUGAGCUCCGCUGUCUCAUCCACAUAUAACAUCAGAGCGCCCCCUGCUGGCCAGCGGAGUAGACCACUGCGGGUCAGCCCCCUGAGAAGCAAAUCUUGUUUUUCUGCGCCCCCCGCCCCCCCCCCCUCCAUCACAGUGACUCCCUUCCACCAACCCCACCUCGGUCCUGGAGCAAAACCCCGGAGAGAAAUA